Long non-coding RNA from Gasterosteus aculeatus aculeatus (three-spined stickleback), 1493 nucleotides. The record is from Ensembl. Lineage: Eukaryota; Metazoa; Chordata; Actinopteri; Perciformes; Gasterosteidae.
UUUCGCAUUACAUUUAAAAAAAAUAAAAAAUAAAAUAAUUUUCGACCAAACACAUUUAGAUUUUUCUUUUGAUUUUUUUAUGUUUUUCAACCUAACCAACAACAAUUUUUUCGAAAAAUAUUUUUGUGCUUUUAUUUCAUUACAUUAUUUCUAUAUUUUGGCCUGGCAGGCCCGGUCAGGACGGAGGCAUGCGCGGAGCCUCCGGCGCCCUCCUGUGACCACGCUGCAGGUCGCUCUGACGGAAGCGCGCUCCAUGCCCACCGCGGGGAGGUUUGAGACCCGCCCCGAACCCUCCCUGAGCCCCCCUGAGUCACACGGACGUUUGCACAAUCGUAGUAAACCCAGAUUUGCACGUGGUCGUAAAUGAGUCCACUGGUGUUCCUCUGGAGUGUGGAACCAUAUCCUGCUCUUAAACCCUGCACAAACAUCACGUCUCCUCGGACUCUCUCCGCUCAACCAGCAGCUCUUCUUGCUGCGUGCCGAAGCUCUCCUUCUUUAUUGCGUUUAUGUGGUGUGUGUCUGUGACGCCGCGUUAAUGAUCGGCCUGAUCGGCCCAUAAAACACAGCAGAGAAACAGACACACACGUACAAAAAUACGUCUUUAUGACGGUGUUCAUACACUUCAUGACGUGCGCCUUUUAUUCAUUGACCUGGUUUUGAUCUCGGGUGUUCUUCUGCGGUCCGACUCACAAAUGUGGUGUUCGUCCGUGUCAACACUUUACCACCAACAUUAUUAUUUUAAUAUUCCUAGGAGGUUUUAGCUUUUGCUCCCCACGGGCGUUCUUCCAGAACUUGUCCUCCUCAUCAUUUGUCCCAGGGCUCCCUCUUCUGGAGACAUCUCGACCUCCGGAGUGUGUCAGGCUACAUUGAGGCUGGAUUUCGAAUUGUCCCGAAGGUCACGGGGUGAAGGAAGGUUGGUUGGAAGAAUUCGUGAGGAGGAGGAAAAGACGGCCGCGGUGUUUAGAUGAGUUGCGCUAACGGUUACGGACGAAUGAUACACAACUAUUUAAAUAUUGAUUCGUUGCAAUUGUGGGACAGAAUUACCUGCUUUCCUUUUGUGGAGGAUGGUCCGGUGGUUCCUAUGCUGGCGCUAAGUAGGGUUUAGCCUUAGAGAAUUCGAAAAGCUCCCAUCAUGGCGGCCACUUGCACUUCUUCCGGGUCAUUUGACUCAGCUAGGAACCUUCCUCAGCAAAUUUGACUAUUGUAAUCCAUCCAAUCAGUGAGCUGCUGGGACGACAUGUGCCCCAAAACGCUUCAUAAAUACAGCUUCAGCCAUUCCGAUCGAAUGUCCCUUUACAAAUAUAGAAAUUGACUUAAAUUGACAUUAGCAUUAAAUUGUCUGUAAUUGUAAAAGUUUUCAUAUUUUUAUAUAAAUACCAUAUAAAUUCUCUCUGCAGUCUCCGGCACAGAGUGCGACCCCCCCAGGGGACUUUUUAGGAAUAGCAGCUACUUUUAUAGAAAUGCAAUUUACGUCUUUCUGUAAUUCUCACAAG